Molecule: non-coding RNA, 30 nt
Filed under: Mus musculus (house mouse)
Lineage: Eukaryota; Metazoa; Chordata; Mammalia; Rodentia; Muridae
Source: RNAcentral
UGGUUGGUUGUCCUUUCCAGGUUCCAGGUC